Sebastes umbrosus (honeycomb rockfish) is the source of this 3530-nucleotide long non-coding RNA. RefSeq lists it as uncharacterized. NCBI's taxonomy places the organism in Eukaryota, Metazoa, Chordata, Actinopteri, Perciformes, Sebastidae. The record is from RefSeq and is a predicted model, not a curated record. The transcript has 2 exons.
GGUAACAUAUUAAACUAGGACAAUAACUAUGGACUAUAACUAUUGACAAUCAUGCGAUUAAUUGCGAUUAAAUAUUUUAAUCGAUAGACAGACCUAAUAAAGACUAAAGGUGCGGAGGUACCCUCCGUAGAGCUGAGGGACCGCAGAGUCAUGAUGGAUUCGUCACUACCAGCGACACCUUUCACUUUACACAUAAUCAUUUGAUCCAUUGUUAAAAUUGAAAUAUUGAUUGGUGCAUCGCCAAGGGCACAGAUUUUGUUUGUUUUGUAUUUUUCAGGUCUGACUUACAGCUUUGGUGUGUAAUAACCGUUGAUGGGGAUGAAGUAUGAGGCAGCACACAUUAUAUUCAUUCUCUGUAGCGAAGGGUGUCUCAACUCUUGUUUUUUUUCUUGUGUCUGGAAUCGUUUUGACCUGUAAUCCCCAAGAUUAUAGUGGCUAAACUGCCCACUGUGUGUUUCCAUGCUCUUUAUCAACUCCUGGUAUGCGAGGCUGAGAGGACUGCUGGCCUCUGGAUGCCCUUAGCCUGACAUUCAGGGAUCACAGGGGUAGCUCGCUGUGCGCGGGUAUAUGUGUGUGUGUCGGUGUGUGUCUGCUUGAGCAUCCGAUGCCCUUGGGGCGGAGACCAGAUCCUAGGAGGUAACAGUAGGUCAGAAGUCACUGCAAUUAGGGAGCAGUUGGAACCAUUAAUUAGCCGAUAUAUCACUUACUCUAUUGUUGAUAAGCUGGAAAUAACCUCUGGACAACUUCCCCCCCCUCAUCAUAUUCCUAUUAGUCUUACGUUGUGCUAAUAAUUGCCACCCACCGUUUUAGUCCUCCACCUUAAGUAACCCAAAAGCUGGACAAGGAUGACAUAACACUUAGAAAUGAUAAUGGCAGAAAAAUAACAAAUAAGUACGCAUGGCGUCGAGAAAAACUCUUUCAACUCCGUGCCCCGUCUUCAGGCAACGUGUCUCCUGAAUUCACAUCAGGAUUUUUUUUUUUCUUUCUGAGGGUUUCACCUGUGAUCCGAGCCCGCCUUGAGCAGUUUGAUUUUCCUCUCUGUGCCUCCAAGACAGGCUGUGAACUUUCAAAGGCUGCGAGUAAAGCCGCGGCAAAAAAACUCUGAGAGGGAGGAGGGGGGGAUCUAAGCCUGCGAGGCUCGGGAGCACUGCGGCUGAAAGGGAUGGCGGAUGGGCGGUGGUUGUUUAGAAGCCAUAGAAAUGCGGGUAGUAAUGGGGAUUGACAAGGCCACCCACGUGAGAGAAGGACAGUCUGCUGAGACAGACGAGGGGGACGUGAUGUGCGCGAUUGUGAUUGUGCACCUCUUCAUAGAAACGUCACCAUACCCCCCGUGUGGGGUGAUAUCGUGGCGAGCAACACACCGCCAACCCUUCAGUUCAACGAUAAGGCUCCUCCUGCUGUUGCCGUACCCCUCUAACCCACAACCGGAGGAUAAGCGGGAACACAGUAGCGGCUCCUCAGGAGCAGCAGAGGCCAUUUUGCCGAGCCACCGAGUGAUUGACAGGAGCUGACGAUAAAGGGAGAGAGGAGCGGCGUUGAAGGAUAGCGGCCUCUGUGAUGGAGUGCUCAUGGGGAAGAGUAGCUAUUGAAUCCUCUUUUUAAUCUGUCUGUCAAGGUUAUUGAAAGUGCUGUCUUCGUUAUUGCGUGCCAGCCUUGGACUUGGAGGGGCCAUAAGUAUGAGAACACACCCUGUUCUGGUGGGCAGAUAAACAAGCUGUAAGCAAACACACAUACGAACUGAGACAGACGCACAAACGUGUGUAUAAAGACGCCAAAAUACAUUGUUAUUUAGGGUAGUUUUCAAUUGGAAAACCCCUCCGGUCAAGGCAGAUGGCCACCCACCCAGAGCCGAGUUCUGCCCAAGGUUUCUAUGCGUUCUUGCCACUGUCGCAACAAUGCUCAUGGGGGAUCUCUUGUUGGGUCUCUAAAUUAAAGAGUAUGGUCUAGACCCGCUCUAUAUGAAAAGCGUCUCGAGAUACCUUCUGUUAUGAUUUGACGCUACGUAAUAAUAAAUUUAGUUGAAAAGUUUUUUCUCCAUGCAAAAACAAGCCUGAGUGGAAGGUAAAGAACGGGAUAAACAACAGUGGACAAACCAUUGAUCCCAUCAAGCCCCAGUUUGAUGCACUCUUCAUACCAAUGACUGUUCUCUUUGCCCCGUAUCCCUCCUCCCCCCCAGCCCAGGUUAGACCGAGGGGGCUCCACUCCAAACCAGACCACUCUAUUCAAUCAAUGUUCAUCAGCGGGUCUAGCAAUAAGUUGUCAAUGGGAUCCUCAUUAGGAUUCAAGUAUGCUUUUGAAUAAUAUUGUAUAGUACUGAAUCACGCUGACAGAUGACUGGGUGAGUGGCAGUUGAGAGCUUGUCAUGUCGGGAGUGAAUUUUAAUCAAAAGAGGGGAUAGUGUCAGACAGAAAUUGAUGUCUGUCUCAAACCACUGAUACUGCAUGUUCCUGUUUUGUUUAAUAAUCUAUAGAGGGAGUUUACCUUGCCAUAAUGAGGUUUAUAUAACCUUUUCUACUCUUUUAGUACCUCUUAAGGAUGAGGCUGCCGAUAUUCUAUGUUUUUCUUAUUGCUAAGAGACGUGCAUGAUAUUCUUGUUAGUGACUUUAGACGUAAUUCAUUAAUUGAAAUCUCAAAGAAUCAUUAAGGGCUUGCCUUCAUUUUCAAUGAUGUCCAGAGUACAAUUAAAACAAUACACACAGAAAAUAAUUAACAAUAAAACAAACAGACAAAUCAGAGUUGGAAUCAGUUAAAAUCCAUCCAUCCAUUAUCUGUAACCGCUUAUCUUAUUCAGGGUUGACAUUGAGCAAAGGCGGGGUAUAACCUGGAAAGGUCGCCAAACUAUCACAGGGCUGAUACAUAGAGACAGACACAUUCACACCUACGGGCAAUUUAGCACACAGCAAGAGGGCCGCAGGUUCAAACCCGGCUUGGGAGUUUACAUGUUCUCCCCCUGUUAGCGUGGAUUUCCUCCGGGUACUCAGUUAACGAAAACACAAUGAUUCUUAGUUUCACGUGAUUAUACACUACUGAAAACAUAGUUAUGAAUGCUGUUCCUUUAAGUACGCAAGUUACGUGACAAACGUUGACUUUUCGUUUCACACAGGACUUGGAAGAGUGGUCUCCUGUGUAAAAGUCUGAUGUUUGUUUCACCCAACCACCCGCCCUUUGAGUCCUUUCAUGUGAUUUACUGCCAAGAAACAUAAAUGCAGAAUAUCACCAUCCUUUAAGGACAUGUUUGAAUAAUGUCAGUUUGGAGUGGAAAACUCAUACAAUGAGUGGAAAGCAAACUUUGUGGAAGAAAAAGAUCACCCCCCUGUCCAUUUGUAAUUUCCCGAGCUGUGUGAAUUGCAUGACCAACCAAAUGGAACUAAAUGUAAUUAAGAUCUACUCAAGGUUAAUUUGGUCAGUAAUGGUAUUAAGUAUGUAUGGAGUAGCCUUUUUCUAAAUACCAGUCCAUUAAAUCUGUGUUAUUAAAAGAUGAUGCUGAAAUGAGACCAAGCAUAUACACAUUAAAAAUAAUUAAUUUGUUC